CAGAGAAGCUUCUUCCAAGAGUAGACAGGAACAGAGGGACCCACAGCUGGAUAUUAGAGAGAAGUGGGAAGACAUACCCGUGAGGCUGAGCUGGAAUAUCCCAGGCUGUAAGAGGAGUGUUGGUACUCAAAAAUGAUGCAGAAUGAAGCACAGAGAUGUGUUGGAAGAAG
Long non-coding RNA from Psammomys obesus (fat sand rat), 170 nucleotides. RefSeq lists it as uncharacterized. The transcript has 3 exons. NCBI's taxonomy places the organism in Eukaryota, Metazoa, Chordata, Mammalia, Rodentia, Muridae. The record is from RefSeq and is a predicted model, not a curated record.